RNAcentral lists this ribosomal RNA (644 nucleotides) under Thalassotalea loyana. RNAcentral's name for it is "bacterial SSU rRNA". It matches the Rfam family "Bacterial small subunit ribosomal RNA", at positions 62 to 695 of the family's 1533-position model. The record is from RNAcentral. Lineage: Bacteria; Pseudomonadati; Pseudomonadota; Gammaproteobacteria; Alteromonadales; Colwelliaceae.
UCGAGCGGUAACGGGAAGAAGCUUGCUUCUUUGCCGACGAGCGGCGGACGGGUGAGUAAUGCUUGGGAACAUGCCUAGAGGUGGGGGACAACAGUUGGAAACGACUGCUAAUACCGCAUAAUGUCUACGGACCAAAGGGGGGGCUCUUCGGACCUCUUGCCUUUAGAUUGGCCCAAGUGAGAUUAGCUUGAUGGUGGGGUAAAGGCCUACCAUGGCGACGAUCUCUAGCUGGUUUGAGAGGAUGAUCAGCCACACUGGGACUGAGACACGGCCCAGACUCCUACGGGAGGCAGCAGUGGGGAAUAUUGCACAAUGGGGGAAACCCUGAUGCAGCCAUGCCGCGUGUGUGAAGAAGGCCUUCGGGUUGUAAAGCACUUUCAGUAAGGAGGAAAGGGUGCAGGUUAAUACCCUGUGUCUGUGACGUUACUUACAGAAGAAGCACCGGCUAACUCCGUGCCAGCAGCCGCGGUAAUACGGAGGGUGCGAGCGUUAAUCGGAAUUACUGGGCGUAAAGCGUGCGUAGGCGGAUUGUUAAGCGAGAUGUGAAAUCCCGGGGCUCAACCUCGGAACUGCAUUUCGAACUGGCAGUCUAGAGUAUUGUAGAGGGUGGUGGAAUUUCCAGUGUAGCGGUGAAAUGCGUAGAG